CCAACCGUACAUAUGAGCGGAACCGCACCGACUCCCAUCUCCCUAUGCGCUUCACGACCUCAUCUCCUAGUCCCAACCGUGCGGCCUCCGUGGCUGCCCCAAUGCGAAAGGAGUGAGUACCAAAACGUCCGGCCGGAAGCCCCAACUUACCUAGUCCGGACCGAAAAACCUUUGUAAACUGAAAUCGGGACAGGGAAGAACCAUCCGCAUGUACCAAGAAGGAACCCC
Molecule: non-coding RNA, 228 nt
Organism: Pelobates cultripes (western spadefoot toad)
Lineage: Eukaryota; Metazoa; Chordata; Amphibia; Anura; Pelobatidae
Source: the annotation of a GenBank genome assembly